Molecule: ribosomal RNA, 499 nt
Filed under: uncultured bacterium
Lineage: Bacteria
Description: bacterial SSU rRNA
Rfam family: Bacterial small subunit ribosomal RNA
Source: RNAcentral
AUGGCUCAGGAUGAACGCUAGCUACAGGCUUAACACAUGCAAGUCGAGGGGAAACGAUAGAGAAAGCUUGCUUUUUCUAGGCGUCGACCGGCGCACGGGUGAGUAACGCGUAUCCAACCUGCCCAUCACUUGGGGAUAACCUUGCGAAAGUAAGACUAAUACCCAAUGACGUCUCUAGAAGACAUCUGAAGGAGAUUAAAGAUUUAUCGGUGAUGGAUGGGGAUGCGUCUGAUUAGCUUGUUGGCGGGUAACGGCCCACCAAGGCGACGAUCAGUAGGGGUUCUGAGAGGAAGGUCCCCCACAUUGGAACUGAGACACGGUCCAAACUCCUACGGGAGGCAGCAGUGAGGAAUAUUGGUCAAUGGACGAGAGUCUGAACCAGCCAAGUAGCGUGCAGGAUGACGGCCCUAUGGGUUGUAAACUGCUUUUAUAAGGGAAUAAAGUGGGAGUCGUGACUCUUUUGCAUGUACCUUAUGAAUAAGGACCGGCUAAUUCCGUG